Molecule: small nuclear RNA, 104 nt
Organism: Mya arenaria
Lineage: Eukaryota; Metazoa; Mollusca; Bivalvia; Myida; Myidae
Source: RefSeq, a predicted model, not a curated record
GUACUGCUUCGGCAGUACAUAUACUAAAAUUGGAACGAUACAGAGAAGAUUAGCAUGGCCCCGCUUAGUAUGCCCCUUUUUUAUUUGCUUUGAGUAUUACAUUC